CCCGCCGGCGACCGGCGCACGGGUGAGUAACACGUAUGAACCUGCCCGUAGCAGGGGAUAAGCGGAAGAAAUUCCGUCUAAUACCGCGUAACAACCCAUGGAGGCAUCUCUGUGGGUUUAAAGGAAGCGAUUCCGGCUACGGAUGGUCAUGCGUCGCAUUAGCUUGUUGGCGGGGUAACGGCCCACCAAGGCGACGAUGCGUAGGGGUUCUGAGAGGAAGGUCCCCCACACUGGUACUGAGACACGGACCAGACUCCUACGGAAGGCAGCAG
This 272-nucleotide ribosomal RNA is filed under the name uncultured bacterium. RNAcentral describes it as "partial 16S ribosomal RNA". It matches the Rfam family "Bacterial small subunit ribosomal RNA", at positions 84 to 354 of the family's 1533-position model. The record is from RNAcentral.